AUUUUGAUUGCUUUAAGAAACAUAUAGUCAAGCAUACCAUGAACAAUUCAAAUAAUGUUGAUACAAGCGUAAAUGUCGGUGACACAGAUAUACACCAAAGUAUAUCAAGUGACGAAUUCCUCAAUCACGAAGAUGGGGAACUCAACUACUUCGUAAAUUCUUCCGAGAUUAAUGAUCCCAAUUCUGUCCCCCUUUUCAUGAAUCUCAUGUAUAGUGAGGAAACAAAUUGUGCCUCCAAUAAGAAAUCAUUUUGUACAGAAAAUAUUUCGAAACCUGGUGUAAAAACCGAUGUACAAGACAAACAAAUAAAAUGCAACUUAUGCGGAAAAAAAUUCAAAAGUUUAGAAUUAUUUUAUUUACACAGUAAAAUCCACACAGGUUCUACGAUCAACUGUAGCAUAUGCAAUAAAUAUUUUGCAUCAAAACAAUGCCUAAUCACCC
Molecule: long non-coding RNA, 441 nt
Filed under: Mytilus galloprovincialis (Mediterranean mussel)
Lineage: Eukaryota; Metazoa; Mollusca; Bivalvia; Mytilida; Mytilidae
Source: RNAcentral